GUGAAGAUUAGAGGACACACAGAGAGAGAUUAAUUGAUCACUAUUGGCAUUAUUUGAAUCCUAGAUCAAGUCUUGGCGGGGCACAGUGGCUCACACCUGUAAUUCCAGCACUGCACUUUGGGAGACCAAAAUGGAUGAUUCACCAAAGUCUGAGUCUCAAAUACGCAGCUGCAUAUCCAGCGGAGAUUUCUACCCACCCCAUCAUCUGGACCCAUGGACUUGAGCAGGGUCAUAAAUGCAUGUUUUGCUAAGGCAAUAAUGUCAGCUGGGCCCACAAUUUUGCUUCAUUUUUUUUCUAUUAUUCAGAAAUUAUAAGAAAUAUUUUGGGAAUGCAUAAAACACUUUAAGCAUUUUUCCACAAGAAUAUAGACGACCCUUGAAAAAUGCAGGGUUAGAAGUGCCAA
RNAcentral lists this long non-coding RNA (404 nucleotides) under Callithrix jacchus (white-tufted-ear marmoset). RNAcentral describes it as "lncRNA (ENSCJAG00000067074.2)". Lineage: Eukaryota; Metazoa; Chordata; Mammalia; Primates; Cebidae. The record is from RNAcentral.